RNAcentral lists this ribosomal RNA (468 nucleotides) under uncultured bacterium. RNAcentral describes it as "partial 16S ribosomal RNA". It matches the Rfam family "Bacterial small subunit ribosomal RNA", at positions 28 to 507 of the family's 1533-position model. The record is from RNAcentral.
GACGAACGCUGGCGGCGUGCUUAACACAUGCCAGUCGAACGGAAAGGCCCUGCUUUUGUGGGGUGCUCGAGUGGCGAACGGGUGAGUAACACGUGAGUAACCUGCCCUUGACUUUGGGAUAACUUCAGGAAACUGGGGCUAAUACCGGAUAGGAGCUCCUGCUGCAUGGUGGGGGUUGGAAAGUUUCGGCGGUUGGGGAUGGACUCGCGGCUUAUCAGCUUGUUGGUGGGGUAGUGGCUUACCAAGGCUUUGACGGGUAGCCUGCCUGAGAGGGUGACCGGCCACAUUGGGACUGAGAUACGGCCCAGACUCCUACGGGAGGCAGCAGUGGGGAAUAUUGCACAAUGGGCGGAAGCCUGAUGCAGCAACGCCGCGUGCGGGAUGACGGCCUUCGGGUUGUAAACCGCUUUCGCCUGUGACGAAGCGUGAGUGACGGUAAUGGGUAAAGAAGCACCGGCUAACUACGUG